UACGAAGGGGGCUAGCGUUGUUCGGAAUCACUGGGCGUAAAGGGCGCGUAGGCGGCUCUUUAAGUCGGGGGUGAAAUCCUGGAGCUCAACUCCAGAACUGCCUUCGAUACUGUAGAGCUUGAGUUCGGGAGAGGUGAGUGGAACUGCGAGUGUAGAGGUGAAAUUCGUAGAUAUUCGCAAGAACACCAGUGGCGAAGGCGGCUCACUGGCCCGAUACUGACGCUGAGGUGCGAAAGCGUGGGGAGCAAACAGG
RNAcentral lists this ribosomal RNA (253 nucleotides) under uncultured bacterium. RNAcentral's name for it is "partial 16S ribosomal RNA". It matches the Rfam family "Bacterial small subunit ribosomal RNA", at positions 524 to 776 of the family's 1533-position model. The record is from RNAcentral.